This 4668-nucleotide long non-coding RNA is filed under the name Sus scrofa (pig). RNAcentral's name for it is "lncRNA (ENSSSCG00065053557.1)". Lineage: Eukaryota; Metazoa; Chordata; Mammalia; Artiodactyla; Suidae. The record is from RNAcentral.
AUUUCCAGAGAAUUAUCACUAGGAAUGAAUGAAUGUUGAAUUUCACCAAAGUCUUUAAAAAAAAGAGAGAGAGAGAGAGAGAGAGAGAGAAGAAAUAAUACAGUAUCUGUGUAUCAUUUUAAUUGAUUCUCCAUAUUGAAUCAAAUUUAAAUUCUUAGAAUAAACUCCUUUGUCCACAUCAUAUUAUCCUUUAGUUUGUUUGACUUGUUAACAUGUGGGGAAUUUCCUGGGAGAGAAUUUUUGUAUGUAUAAUGUAAUGUAUACGUCUUUUUCUGUGUGUGUUUCAAGGUAAUGCUAGACUCACAGAAUAAAACGAGAUAUAGUCCCUAGUUUUCAAUAUUAUGGAAGAGUUUGGUGGAAUUUGUUUGACUUAUUUUUCAAAUAUUUGUAAGCGUUUACUAGAGAAACUAUCUGGAUCUGGACUUCCUUUUAGCACUUAAAAUACUAAUUCAAUUUAUUUAAUGGAUAUUGGGCUAUUAAGCACUUUUCUUUCUUAGAUGAGCUUUGGUAUUUUGUAUCAUUCAUGGAAUUUGUUCAUUUAAUCCAAAUUGUCAAAUUCAUUGGUAUAAAAUUAUUUGUAAUAUAUCCUUGUUAUCUUUUUAAAAACUUUAGCAAUGUCACACUCUCAUUCAUGAUACUGGUCAUUUGUGAUUUGUCUGUCUUUAAACUUAUUAAAUUCAUAAGUUUAGGGCCAAGACAGUCUUUGGCCCUAAACUUUGAAAAAGUAAUUUUUCUGGGUGUGUGCUUCUCAGUUAGGUUUUUUUGUUUGUUUGUUUGUCUGUGUUUUUGUCUUUUUGCCUUUUCUUGGGCUGCAGCAUGUGGAGGUUCCCAGGCCAGGGGUCGAAUCGGAGCUGUAGCUGCUGGCCUACACUAGAGCCACAGAAACGCGGGAUCCGAGCCGCGUCUGUGACCUACCCCACAGCUCACGGCAAUGCUGGAUCCUUGUCCCACGGAGCGAGGCCAGGGAUAGAAACCGCAACCUCAUGGUUCCUAGUCAGAUUCGUUAGCCCCUACGCCACGAUGGGAACUCCUCAGUUAGGUUUUUUAAAAAUUCUUAACUUUCAUUAAUUUAAAGAAGUUGUUCUUCUGUCAUAUAUUUAAAAAACUUUCUGACAAGAAAUCUGUUGUCAUCCUUAUCAUUGCUCCUCUCUUCCUAACAUCUCUGUAUUAUCUAACUGCUUUUAUUUAAUACAUUCCAUUUAUCAAAUGUUUUCUGCAAUUCGAUAAUGUAGGCUUACCAGGCUUGCCGUAUUGCUCCCUCCGGUACUUCAGUGCAGACUGGGGAAACUCUCAAGUUGUAAUUUUCUUCAUGAUUCCUAUACUUGAUACAAGUUGAUAUUUGUCAUCUGUGGUUUCAGAAUGUUCAUCAAAUUUGAAAUAUUUCUGCCUUUUUUUCUUAAAUUUUUUUUUUCUCAGCUCCCUGUAUUAUUCUAUGGAAACAAUAAUUAUCUGUAAUGGCUGCUUCAUUUUACGCUUACAGAAUGAAAUGAGAUAUAGUCCCUCUUUUUCAAUAUUAUGGAAGAGUUUGGUGGAAUUUGUUUGACUUCUUUUUAAAGAAGAAUAUGGUUUUCUUUGUGUGAUUGAAUGCCAGAUCUGGGCCCAGCUGCGAAUUAUACCACAGCUCAUGGCAACCCCAGAUCCUUAACCCACUGAGGGAGGCUAGGGAUCAAACCCAAGACUUCAUAGAUACUAGUUGAGUUCGUUACUGCUGAGCCACAACGGGGAAUGCCCUCGUUAAUUUUGUCUGUGUUUUGGUUGUUUCAAGUGGAGGGAAAAUCCAGUCCCUAUUUUUCCAUUUUUUUCUGAAUUUUAAAUCCAAAAAAAUAUUUUUUUUUCAAAAUUAAUCUUCUUAAAAAUGUCAAACUUUUCUUCAGCUUAGAAGAGGUAUAAAGAAAAUGAUGUCAAAAUGAUGUCUGACUAGAAACUAGGAGGAUGCAGGUUCAAUCCCUGGCCUUGCUCAGUAGGUUAAGGAUCCAGCAUUGCUGUGAGCUCUGGUGUAGUUCACAGAUGUAGCUCGGAUCUGGCAUUGCUGCGUCUGUGGCAUAUGCUGGCAGGUACAGCUCUGAUUCAGCCUCUAGCCUGGUAACCUCUGUAAGCCACAGGUGCGGCCCUAAAAAAAGAAUAAUUCAAUAAAUACUAUAAAAUACAGGUGUUGGAGGACAAAAUUAAUUUCUUUUCUUAAUGCUAAAAGCUCGUUAUUAAACACAAACUCAUGUUAAAAGACAUGGAAACUCAUGACCAGGAAUGAAGUAUGAGGAAAUUACCCAGAAGGUAUCAUUUUAGAUAAAAUGAUGGCUAACAUGAAAAAUGGUUAAAUGGGGAAAUCAGAUGAAUGUAGGUAUAAACCACAAUGAAUAGCAGUACCAAAUGAGAUAUUAGAUAGAAUGUGACAAGAAAUAUUCAAAAAGAAAGUAGUUGAGGAUUUAGCAUAGGUCUUAAUGAGUACUUGGAUGGUUCAGCUGACUAGAUCCUGCAUCACCUUAUUUAAGCUGGGCUUAAUCAUGUGUCUGUGGUCAGCUAAUGGGUUAGCUGGGGCCUGGCUGCUUCAGGAUUGCCUCAGCUAAGUCUCUUUUCUGCUCCAUAUUUUCUCUUAUUUCCUGGUUGGAUGACAGGCUUAUUCUCAUGGUGGAUGCAAAUGAGGUACAGACAGACAGACAGACAGACAGACACAGACAGAUAGAAAGACAGACAUUGAAAUGUUCAAAGAUUUUCAAGGCUUAGUUUUAUAUCUGGAAUGGCAUCACUUCUGCCACAUUCCCUGAACCACAUGAGACUGCACCAGAUCCCAUUUAAGGAAUAGAGAAAUGGACUCUACAUGAUAAAGAACACUGCAAAAUUAUACUAUGAUGAUAAAAAUCCAAAAAGGAGUGGGAAAUAUAUUGAUUUUUCUAAUCUAUCUACCACUAAUAUUUUUUCAGAAUAGGAAAACAAAAACAAAAACAAAAAUAAUUGAUAAUACUGAGAUUGCAUAACAAUAUCAAGCUUGAAGAGAAUAAAGAAAAAAAAUCCAUUCCUAAAUAUAUUUUGUAAAAUUGUACCAAAAACCACACAAAAAUUGAUUAUUAAAAACAAUCAGAAAAAAGGCAUUACAUAUGGUGAAUGAUUAAUUUCUCAUCAGAAAAAAGAGAAAACAAGACAAUAGAUUAUGUACAGUGCUGAUGGGCAAUAUUUGCUAAUAUGGAAUAUCCAUCUAGCUAACCUAGCUUUAAAGAUAGAGAAAUAAAUAAAAUUUCAAUCAAAGACAAAGUUUGCUGUGAUAUACUUACUAAUUUUUUUUAAGAAAUAACAAUUGAAAGGUUGCAAUAAAGCAAAGUCAGUGCAAGAUACAAGGUGAACAAUCAUAAAUUUGUAAAUGAGGAUGGAUUGUAAAAUUACUAUAUAUGUAAAUACAUAUGCAUGUGUUCAGUAAUAUAUAGUGAAUUUACAUUAUUAAUUAUAAGUAUAUAUAUAUACAUACACACACACACACGCACACACAUACACACAUGCAGUAACAGAAUACAAACACAAUCAAUUGAGGAAACUGAACAGAACUAAAAUAUUAAUAAUGAUAUUAUUAGAAAGUGUCUUAACUAGUUUGGCUAUCCUAACAAAACACCCUAGACUGGAUGUUUUGAACAAUAGAAAUUUAUUUUCUUACAGUUCUGGAGGCUAGAAGUCCAAGAUUGAGGUGCUAGCAUAGUUUCUGAUAUAGGCUCUCUUCCUGGCUUUUAGAUGGCUCUCUAGUGUCCUUUUCAUAAGGGCACUGAUUCCAUUACGAGGCUCUACCUUUAUGACUUCAUCUAACCCUAACUACCUCCCAAGGACCCUGUCUCAAAAUAUCAUCACUUUGGGGGUUAGGGCUUCUACAUAUGAAUACUGGGGAAACACAAUUCAGUAUGUAACCACUAGUAAGGAUUAUUUUAGGUCAAUGUGCUAAGUUUCUUAGAGAAGGUAGAGAUAUUAACUUCAGAAUUUGUAAAGUCAGAUUGAUUAAUCUGAUUUCAAAUAUGCUUUAUUGGUGAUUGGCAUUUAUAGGAUAUAUAUUAAUUUCUAUUGAAGAAUCUGGUUGGUUAUUUGAUUACCUUUAAAAUAUGGCCUUCUUAAACUAAAUUAUAGUACUCUUAUCAAACUCAGUUAUUGGAUUACUUUUAAAAUAUGGCCUUCUUAAACUAAAUUAUAGUACUCUUAUCAAAUAUUAUAGUCAAAUAUUCCCCAAAGUCUUUUGUUUUCCUCAGAGUAAAUCAUUUAAUUAAUGUAGCAUAGAUAGCUGAAGAUUACUUUUCAACUAUUUCAUAAAUAAAGUAAAAAUAUCUCAAAAUAUAGGUUAUAGUUUUGUUAUAUUUUUUCUUAAAGAUAUUUAUCUUCAUAUCACUAUAAAUUAUAUCAAUGUAACAUUUAUAUUUGUCUCAGAAUAGCUCUUAUAAUCAGGUCAAAAGCAAGUUAUCUUGAACCAACAUAGGUUUGAACUCCAUUGGUCCACUUAUAUUCAGUUUUUCAAUAAAAAAGUGUAUACAGUGCUAAAGAAAACCCACAGGCACUUGGUCGAAUCUGCAGAUGCAAAACUCUGCAUUCAAAGGGCUAGAAUAUAAAGUUAUACAUGAGUUUUCCACUGUGUGUAGGGUCAGCGCCCCUAACCCCUGCCUUGUUCCAGAGUCAACUGUGCAUCCUAAUUGGCAUGGUGGCUAU